RNAcentral lists this ribosomal RNA (1353 nucleotides) under uncultured bacterium. RNAcentral describes it as "16S ribosomal RNA". It matches the Rfam family "Bacterial small subunit ribosomal RNA", at positions 27 to 1378 of the family's 1533-position model. The record is from RNAcentral.
GGACGAACGCUGGCGGCGUGCUUAACACAUGCAAGUCGAACGGGGGUUACAUUGAAACCUAGUGAAAUGUAACCUUAGUGGCGGACGGGUGAGUAACGCGUGGAUAACCUGCCUAUCUGACCGGGACAACACCUGGAAACGGGUGCUAAUACCGGAUACGCUCAUAGAUUCAGAAGAAUAGAUGAGGAAAGGGGAAACCCGCAGACAGAUGGGUCCGCGUCCCAUUAGCUAGUUGGAGGUGUAAGAGACCCCCAAGGCGACGAUGGGUGGCCGGCCUGAGAGGGUGAACGGCCACACUGGAACUGAGACACGGUCCAGACUCCUACGGGAGGCAGCAGUGGGGAAUCUUCCGCAAUGGGCGCAAGCCUGACGGAGCAACGCCGCGUGAGUGAAGAAGGCCUUCGGGUUGUAAAACUCUGUCAUCAGGGAAGAAGAAAGUGACGGUACCUGAGGAGGAAGCCCCGGCUAACUACGUGCCAGCAGCCGCGGUAAAACGUAGGGGGCGAGCGUUGUCCGGAAUUACUGGGCGUAAAGGGCGCGUAGGCGGUUAUCCAAGUCAGGGGUGAAAACCUUGGGCUCAACUCAGGGCCUGCCUCUGAAACUGGGUAACUUGAGGGCAGGAGAGGGGAGUGGAAUUCCCAGUGUAGCGGUGAAAUGCGUAGAUAUUGGGAGGAACACCAGUGGCGAAGGCGGCUCUCUGGCCUAACCCUGACGCUGAGGCGCGAAAGCGUGGGGAUCAAACAGGAUUAGAUACCCUGGUAGUCCACGCCGUAAACGAUGGGUGCUAGGUGUAGGAGGUAUCGACCCCUUCUGUGCCGUAGUUAACACAAUAAGCACCCCGCCUGGGGAGUACGGCCGCAAGGUUGAAACUCAAAGGAAUUGACGGGGGCCCGCACAAGCGGUGGAGCAUGUGGUUUAAUUCGACGCAACGCGAAGAACCUUACCAGGGUUUGACAUCCUCUGACAACCUAUGAAAGUAGGUAUUCUAUCUUCGGAUAGACAGGGAGACGGGUGGUGCAUGGUUGUCGUCAGCUCGUGUCGUGAGAUGUUGGGUUAAGUCCCGCAACGAGCGCAACCCUUACGUUUAGUUGCUAACACGUGAAGGUGGGGACUCUAGACGAACUGCCGUUGACAAAACGGAGGAAGGUGGGGAUGACGUCAAAUCAUCAUGCCCCUUAUAUCCUGGGCUACACACGUGCUACAAUGGCCGGUACAAAGGGAAGCGAAGCCGCGAGGCGGAGCCAAUCCUAAAAAGCUGGCCUCAGUUCAGAUUGCAGUCUGCAACUCGACUGCAUGAAGUUGGAGUUGCUAGUAACCGCAGGUCAGCAAUACUGCGGUGAAUACGUUCCCGGG